Molecule: ribosomal RNA, 460 nt
Filed under: uncultured bacterium
Lineage: Bacteria
Description: partial 16S ribosomal RNA
Rfam family: Bacterial small subunit ribosomal RNA
Source: RNAcentral
CCUACGGGCGGCAGCAGUGAGGAAUAUUGGUCAAUGGACGAGAGUCUGAACCAGCCAAGUAGCGUGAAGGAUGACUGCCCUAUGGGUUGUAAACUUCUUUUAUAAAGGAAUAAAACGAGGCACGUGUGCCUGUUUGCAUGUACUUUAUGAAUAAGGAUCGGCUAACUCCGUGCCAGCAGCCGUGGUAAUACGGAGGAUCCGAGCGUUAUCCGGAUUUAUUGGGUUUAAAGGGAGCGUAGAUGGGUUGUUAAGUCAGUUGUGAAAGUUUGCGGCUCAACCGUAAAAUUGCAAUUGAUACUGGCAGUCUCGAGUACAGUUGAGGUAGGCGGAAUUCGUGGUGUAGCGGUGAAAUGCUUAGAUAUCACGAAGAACCCCGAUUGCGAAGGCAGCUUACUAAACUGUGACUGACAUUGAUGCUCGAAAGUGUGGGUAUCAAACAGGAUUAGAUACCCUGGUAGUC